GCAAGUCGAACGAGAUCUUCGGAUCUAGUGGCGGACGGGUGAGUAACGCGUGGGAACGUGCCCUUCUCUACGGAAUAGUCCCGGGAAACUGGGUUUAAUACCGUAUACGCCCUUCGGGGGAAAGAAUUUCAGGGAAGGAUCGGCCCGCGUUGGAUUAGGUAGUUGGUGGGGUAAUGGCCUACCAAGCCGACGAUCCAUAGCUGGUUUGAGAGGAUGAUC
This 219-nucleotide ribosomal RNA is filed under the name uncultured bacterium. RNAcentral's name for it is "partial 16S ribosomal RNA". It matches the Rfam family "Bacterial small subunit ribosomal RNA", at positions 57 to 305 of the family's 1533-position model. The record is from RNAcentral.